CCUCGCUCUUCAUGAACAAGAUAAAACAGUGAAUUCAAUGUAAGAAUACGGCCAGCACCAUUGAAUCCAAGGGACCCAACAGGCAAGUGCAAUAGCCAAUUCCAGCUUUUAGAUUAUGUGUGCAGGGGGUGAUGGUAUCAUAUUGCUGAUAAUGCUGAAAAAUAGAAAUGGUAGCCAUGUAAACAUGGAGUGAUAGCUAUUGUAAAUAUUGAAAUAUUUUGGUUGUUUAGGCAGUUUAUUAAAAUUUUUCAGCAUAAUCAGGAAUAUGAUACCUUACUUCCCGUCACCCCCUGCAUGCAUAAAUUAAAAGCUGGAAUUGCCUAUUGAUCUAGACUAUGGAACUGUAUGGACACAUGUUGUUUAUAUUGCUUCUGAACUAUGCAAGUAUUUGCACCCACUAAUUGCUGCAGGAGAUGUCCUGGAUGUCUAUGUUCUGUGUAUCAAGUAUAGGGUUGACUUUUUUAAAAUAGGAUUUUAUCCAAAAAUUUUCAUAAAGACACCUGGUGAGUGGAGACUCGAGUAGUAGGAAAAAGCAUGAGUGUAUGUUGACAUAUGUUUUUUAUAUAAUAAAUAGCAACUACCAUAGGUAUGUUUAGCAAGUUAUUAGUGCAUUUAUUUCAAUUGGCUAACUUUUUUAGUUUUUCCAGCAUUUUUUAAACAAAUCAUAGGUUAUGAAUGAUAACUGGGUAUAUCUAAGUAAAACAAUCUGUCAUGUACACUCAUGCAAAUAAGACCAAGUAUGUACAUAAAUAACUGUAAAAAAUGUACUUUAGUAAAUAAACUUAUGAAAAAUUAAUUCAUACACUUGACCUACUUUGUGAGUAUUUUUUCAGAUUAAAAUUAAUGCAACAAUAAAACAAGAAGAUGUCUAUUUAUAUAAUAUUUAUUAAAUUGAUCAGAGAUCCCACUUCAGCUCAGAAAAAGAUCCCACAAUAUAAUAACAUGCCACUUAAUUUGUUAUAUGAUACAUAAAAACUUGUUUAUUGUUUUAAAACAAGUGAAGCUCUCUGCUGGUUUGAAAUGGACUGUUAUGACACUGAUUUGUCCUGGAUUGUCCAUGCUGAG
Paramuricea clavata is the source of this 1065-nucleotide non-coding RNA. The record is from the annotation of a GenBank genome assembly. NCBI's taxonomy places the organism in Eukaryota, Metazoa, Cnidaria, Anthozoa, Malacalcyonacea, Plexauridae.